CGCCUAUUAGCUCAGCUGGUUAGAGCGUGGUCCUAAUAAGGCCAAGGUCGCAGGUUCGAGACUUGCAUGGGCCA
This 74-nucleotide transfer RNA is filed under the name Triticum aestivum (bread wheat). Its description in RNAcentral is "tRNA tRNA-Ile". It matches the Rfam family "tRNA". Rfam says of the family: Transfer RNA (tRNA) molecules are approximately 80 nucleotides in length. The record is from Rfam by way of RNAcentral. RNAcentral also lists the same sequence under 2 other names. Lineage: Eukaryota; Viridiplantae; Streptophyta; Magnoliopsida; Poales; Poaceae.